This is a long non-coding RNA of Strongylocentrotus purpuratus (purple sea urchin), 400 nucleotides long. RefSeq lists it as uncharacterized. The transcript has 3 exons. The record is from RefSeq and is a predicted model, not a curated record. Lineage: Eukaryota; Metazoa; Echinodermata; Echinoidea; Camarodonta; Strongylocentrotidae.
CAGAUUUCUUAUGGGUUAGCUACGAUGGAAUGGACAGUGCUGAUGUGUACCUCAGUUACUUUGCAGGAAGAACUUGUGGCCUGUGUGGAUCCUUUGAUGGAGACCAGAACAAUGAUUGAUACUUCCUUCAGGAGAAUUGGCAAGAUCAGCAACUGAGUUUGGAAACAGCUGGGUUGCGUACCCUGACCAAUGUGAUGGUGUGGAUCCAGGUCCAACUGACCCUUGUGAGGAUGGAGUGAACAGCUUGUCUGCAUCCAACGAUCUGUGCUAUUAUUUGAAGGAUCCUUCCGGACCAUUUGAAUCCUGCCUUGAGAUCGUGGAUCCAGACGACUACUAUGAUUCGUGCGUCUAUGACGUGUGUCUUACCGGUGAUGAUGCUCUGUGUUCCAGUCUUGCACAA